Cinara cedri is the source of this 205-nucleotide non-coding RNA. NCBI's taxonomy places the organism in Eukaryota, Metazoa, Arthropoda, Insecta, Hemiptera, Aphididae. The record is from the annotation of a GenBank genome assembly.
UCCCAUACAUUUCGGUUUCUGGUGCGGUUUAUUUGAAAAUCGAUCGACCCAAUUAGGAACUAGCUAACCGUUUCACUAUUAUUAUGAGGACUAACCCGGAUCUACCCGGAGAGUCCUUCGGUUCUUCGGGUUUGUGUAUAGCUCGGUCAAAAGUGAUUUCGAAAAUACGGCUACAUGUAAAUUACCAAAAAUGACCUUUUUACCU